This 1983-nucleotide ribosomal RNA is filed under the name Saccharomyces cerevisiae (brewer's yeast). RNAcentral's name for it is "eukaryotic LSU rRNA". The stretch from base 889 to 1983 matches the Rfam family "Eukaryotic large subunit ribosomal RNA", at positions 1 to 1111 of the family's 3401-position model. Lineage: Eukaryota; Fungi; Ascomycota; Saccharomycetes; Saccharomycetales; Saccharomycetaceae. The record is from RNAcentral.
GCCUCAGGAUCUGCUUAGAGAAGGGGGCAACUCCAUCUCAGAGCGGAGAAUUUGGACAAACUUGGUCAUUUAGAGGAACUAAAAGUCGUAACAAGGUUUCCGUAGGUGAACCUGCGGAAGGAUCAUUAAAGAAAUUUAAUAAUUUUGAAAAUGGAUUUUUUUUUUUGUUUUGGCAAGAGCAUGAGAGCUUUUACUGGGAAAAAAGACAAGAGAUGGAGAGUCCAGCCGGGCCCGCGCUUAAGUGCGCGGGCUUGCUGGGCUUGUAAGUUUCUUUCUUGCUAUUCCAAACGGAGAGAGAUUUCUGUGCUUUUGUUAUAGGACAAUUAAAACCGUUUCAAUACAACACACUGUGGAGUUUUCAUAUCUUUGCAACUUUUUCUUUGGGCAUUCGAGCAAUCGGGGCCCAGAGGUAACAAACACAAACAAUUUUAUCUAUUCAUUAAAUUUUUGUCAAAAAACAAGAAUUUUCGUAACUGGAAAUUUUAAAAUAUUAAAAACUUUCAACAACGGAUCUCUUGGUUCUCGCAUCGAUGAAGAACGCAGCGAAAUGCGAUACGUAAUGUGAAUUGCAGAAUUCCGGGAAUCAUUGAAUCUUUGAACGCACAUUGCGCCCCUUGGUAUUCCAGGGGGCAUGCCUGUUUGAGCGUCAUUUCCUUUUCAAACAUUCUGUUUGGUAGUGAGUGAUACUCUUUGGAGUUAACUUGAAAUUGCUGGCCUUUUUCAUUGGAUGUUUUUUUUUCCAAAGAGAGGUUUCUCUGCGUGCUUGAGGUAUAAUGCAAGUACGGUCGUUUUAGGUUUUACCAACUGCGGCUAAUCUUUUUUAUACUGAGCGUAUUGGAACGUUAUCGAUAAGGAGAGAGCGUCUAGGCGAACAAUGUUCUUAAAGUUUGACCUCAAAUCAGGUAGGAGUACCCGCUGAACUUAAGCAUAUCAAUAAGCGGAGGAAAAGAAACCAACCGGGAUUGCCUUAGUAACGGCGAGUGAAGCGGCAAAAGCUCAAAUUUGAAAUCUGGUACCUUCGGUGCCCGAGUUGUAAUUUGGAGAGGGCAACUUUGGGGCCGUUCCUUGUCUAUGUUCCUUGGAACAGGACGUCAUAGAGGGUGAGAAUCCCGUGUGGCGAGGAGUGCGGUUCUUUGUAAAGUGCCUUUCGAAGAGUCGAGUUGUUUGGGAAUGCAGCUCUAAGUGGGUGGUAAAUUCCAUCUAAAGCUAAAUAUUGGCGAGAGACCGAUAGCGAACAAGUACAGUGAUGGAAAGAUGAAAAGAACUUUGAAAAGAGAGUGAAAAAGUACGUGAAAUUGUUGAAAGGGAAGGGCAUUUGAUCAGACAUGGUGUUUUGUGCCCUCUGCUCCUUGUGGGUAGGGGAAUCUCGCAUUUCACUGGGCCAGCAUCAGUUUUGGUGGCAGGAUAAAUGCAUAGGAAUGUAGCUUGCCUCGGUAAGUAUUAUAGCCUGUGGGAAUACUGCCAGCUGGGACUGAGGACUGCGACGUAAGUCAAGGAUGCUGGCAUAAUGGUUAUAUGCCGCCCGUCUUGAAACACGGACCAAGGAGUCUAACGUCUAUGCGAGUGUUUGGGUGUAAAACCCAUACGCGUAAUGAAAGUGAACGUAGGUUGGGGCCUCGCAAGAGGUGCACAAUCGACCGAUCCUGAUGUCUUCGGAUGGAUUUGAGUAAGAGCAUAGCUGUUGGGACCCGAAAGAUGGUGAACUAUGCCUGAAUAGGGUGAAGCCAGAGGAAACUCUGGUGGAGGCUCGUAGCGGUUCUGACGUGCAAAUCGAUCGUCGAAUUUGGGUAUAGGGGCGAAAGACUAAUCGAACCAUCUAGUAGCUGGUUCCUGCCGAAGUUUCCCUCAGGAUAGCAGAAGCUCGUAUCAGUUUUAUGAGGUAAAGCGAAUGAUUAGAGGUUCCGGGGUCGAAAUGACCUUGACCUAUUCUCAAACUUUAAAUAUGUAAGAAGUCCUUGUUACUUAAUUGAACGUGGACAUUGA